Molecule: ribosomal RNA, 497 nt
Filed under: uncultured bacterium
Lineage: Bacteria
Description: partial 16S ribosomal RNA
Rfam family: Bacterial small subunit ribosomal RNA
Source: RNAcentral
GAUGAACGCUGGCGGCGUGCCUAACACAUGCAAGUCGAGCGAACGGACGAGAAGUUUGCUUUUCUGAUGUUAGCGGCGGACGGGAGAGUAACACGUGGAUAACCUACCUAUCAGACUGGGAUAACUUCGGGAAACCGGAUCUAAUACCGGAUAAUAUUUUGCACUGCAUGGUUCAAAAGUUAAAUUCGGUCUUGCUGUCACUUAUAGAUGGAUCCGCGCUGCAUUAGCUAGUUGGUAAGGUAACGGCUUACCAAGGCAACGAUGCAUAGCCGACCUGAGAGGGUGAUCGGCCACACGGGAACUGAGACACGGUCCCGACUCCUACGGGAGGCGGCAGUAGGGAAUCUUCCGCAAUGGGCGAGAGCCUGACGGAGCAACGCCGCGUGAGUGAUGAAGGUCUUCGGAUCGUAAAACUCUGUUAUUAGGGGAGAACAUAUGUGUAAGUAACUGUGCACAUCAUGACGGUACCUAAUGAAAAAGCCACGGCUAACUACGUG